This 468-nucleotide ribosomal RNA is filed under the name uncultured bacterium. Its description in RNAcentral is "partial 16S ribosomal RNA". It matches the Rfam family "Bacterial small subunit ribosomal RNA", at positions 28 to 507 of the family's 1533-position model. The record is from RNAcentral.
GACGAACGCUGGCGGCGUGCUUAACACAUGCAAGUCGAACGGUGAUGCUCCAGCUUGCUGGAGUGGAUCAGUGGCGAACGGGUGAGUAACACGUGAGCAACCUGCCCCAGACUCUGGAAUAAGCGCUGGAAACGGCGUCUAAUGCUGGAUACGAAACUGGCCCGCAUGGGCAUGGUUUGGAAAGUUUUUCGGUUUGGGAUGGGCUCGCGGCCUAUCAGCUUGUUGGUGAGGUAAUGGCUCACCAAGGCGACGACGGGUAGCCGGCCUGAGAGGGCGACCGGCCACACUGGGACUGAGACACGGCCCAGACUCCUACGGGAGGCAGCAGUGGGGAAUAUUGCACAAUGGGCGAAAGCCUGAUGCAGCGACGCCGCGUGAGGGAUGACGGCCUUCGGGUUGUAAACCUCUUUCAGCAGGGAAGAAGCGAAAGUGACGGUACCUGCAGAAGAAGCACCGGCUAACUACGUG